This 178-nucleotide unclassified non-coding RNA is filed under the name uncultured fungus. RNAcentral describes it as "sequence contains ITS1". The record is from RNAcentral. Lineage: Eukaryota; Fungi.
CAUGGAAGACCGGACUGCCCAUUGACUUUACCAACCGUAUCCCGCUGAUUUCGAAAUUACUUCCCGAGAACGGACUCAGACUUUGGGGAAAAUACACGAGGCAUCCUGAUUCGCGCCAGGAGCGACUUUUCUUUGCCCUUCUCGCCGAAUGCUUACAGACCGGCCAAAUAACGCCCCA